UGCAAGCCACGUACGUUCCCAU
RNAcentral lists this non-coding RNA (22 nucleotides) under Rattus norvegicus (Norway rat). The record is from RNAcentral. Lineage: Eukaryota; Metazoa; Chordata; Mammalia; Rodentia; Muridae.